Drosophila novamexicana is the source of this 1799-nucleotide long non-coding RNA. RefSeq lists it as uncharacterized. The transcript is spliced from 4 exons. Lineage: Eukaryota; Metazoa; Arthropoda; Insecta; Diptera; Drosophilidae. The record is from RefSeq and is a predicted model, not a curated record.
AUAAAUUAGAAAUAUUAUAAGGAUGGAAAAAAAAUGUCAAACAUUUUUUUUUAAGAUUUUCUAACAGUUUCUAGACUGCGAUUUCAAUUUCUGCAAGUGAGUAUGAGCCAGGCAGGUGAUGAAAUCUAAAAUAGCCGGUCAUUUCUUGGGAAAUAAAAGGCAUGUCAGUCAAUGCCGCAAAUAAUUCACAAAGCGUUUGGCACAAAUUAAUGGCUUUACUUUUGAAACCUUUUAUACACGCCAGCAAGCCAAAAAAAACAAAAGAAAAAAAAAUUAAAUAAAAAAAUGCCCAGCCAAAGCAAAGCUCGUAAAUUUGUUGGCCAUAAAAAUCAAUAUGUUAAUGGGCAAAAGUUUGCUACAGUUGCUUGUGUGUAUGUGCCUAUGUGUGCGUGCCUGUGUGUCUGCAUGUGGGUGUGUAUAGAUCUCUGUAUGUGUGUGAAGAGUGACACUGCUGAAACAUAAAUCCUACUGUCAACAAUGGCCAGCAGCAUUGACAUGCGACAAUGGCGGCCACAUAGUCGAAGGGCGAUCAGGAUGCAGAGGAAAGGGCAUUGCUAGCGGCUGGAUUGACCGAACCGCAGUGUUACAUAAAUACAAUAAAUACACACGGCGACAUGGCCUGACGCUGCUGAUGCUGAUGGACAGAUGACGAAAGGAUUUCGAACAACCAAUUGCAGAGAACCGGAGCGUCAGAGAGCCGUGGGGAGUGCGCAUUUAAAAUAUGCAAGCGAACAAAAAAUAUAUAAAAUUAAAAUUGCAAUUAAGCGUGGGAAAUAUGCGCAAAGUGUUGAAAUGCGAACUGACAGCUUCGAAUUGAAACUAUUGACCAAGCAAAUACUCAGCGGCCCCUUUCUCAUGCCACAAUCGCCACCGUGAGCAAAUAUGCCAAGGAUUUCUGUUAAAUUUAUGUAAAGAUAUGCGAAAACACGCCCCCUCAAAAGCCGCCCCUUCAACCUGACGCUCGUCGCUUUCAAUUUGUGGAAGACACUCGUUGCGCUCACAGCUCUCGACUCGACUCGACUCAACUCAACUCGAAUCAACUAAAAUUGAUUUAUGGAUAUUUUUAGAGAAGAAACGGGCCCUGACUGGGUAAAAGUUUAAAGCGUGUUGCGUGUCAAGAGCAAAUAUCAAAAAUCGACAUUCGACAUUCGGGGCGUGGUCGUAAAACCGCUCGAAAAUUAUAGCUUUCAGCUUUCGCGCGAAUUGUAAUAAAUUUAGAAAACUUAUAUACACAUCGCGAACCACUUGGCCAUUUUUAUAAAGUUUGCUCGCAAUUGCAGCUUAACGCCCCAUCCCACCAGUUGGUUGUCCCGCCCCCACAGUUGGGCAGCAAACGGGUUUCAACUAGCAAAGGUCGUUAACAGCUGGAAAGGCUUAGCCCGCCCGACGGAAAAAAGUUCGUAGGUGCCAACAAGCGUGGAAUAGAGCGGCUAGAAAAAUGGAAAACCGGCAAGGAUGUGGCAGAAAGUGCUUGACCUCGACCAUGGUACACACUGCAGCAUUACACAAAAAAAUGGAAUGUUUGUGUCUAUGGAAACUUUAUACUCUUUGCGCAUUUGGCUGCGCAAAAAGCAAAGCAAGUUUUUUAAUGACCGCGAUAAGCAAACAGAGGAUAAAACAAAUAUGCAGGUGUCAACAAGGCAUAACCGACUGCGGAAUACAGUUGAACACAGUGUAACCAAAUAAUAAUGAAAUUGACUAUAAAAUAAUAUAAGUCAAAGUGUAGAGUCUUGUUUAGCAGAGCUUUCUUUAAAGUGUCAAAUCUAACUGAAAUGAAAAUUGCUUAAUGAUAGGACUGU